GGGGCUUUAGCUCAGCUGGGAGAGCGCCUGCUUUGCACGCAUGAGGCCAGCGGUUCGAUCCCGCUAAGCUCCUACCA
RNAcentral lists this transfer RNA (77 nucleotides) under Haploplasma axanthum. Its description in RNAcentral is "Acholeplasma axanthum tRNA-Ala". It matches the Rfam family "tRNA". From Rfam's summary of the family: Transfer RNA (tRNA) molecules are approximately 80 nucleotides in length. Their secondary structure includes four short double-helical elements and three loops (D, anti-codon, and T loops). The record is from RNAcentral. Lineage: Bacteria; Bacillati; Mycoplasmatota; Mollicutes; Acholeplasmatales; Acholeplasmataceae.